CAAGAGCCCAGCUGCUCGCCAAACCCCGGCCGCCUGCGUGAGUGACUUGGCACAGCCAGAAACACGGUUGAGUCUUUGGGUUUAUCACCGGCGCGCCUUCACCACCUCCUCUCCUGGCCACCUGCUUCCCAUGCACCUGGACCUGGACCAGAGGAGGGCGCGAAUUUCCAAAGCACCGCAGGAGAAACGAGCCUGCUUUCUGAAUCAGAGCGAUUCGGGGUAAAACGACUUGUCAGAGGACCUCUAAACUCCUUGGCAAACGCUGGGCGACUCUAUUGCUAGUAAGUCCACAAAAGCCACGAAUGUGCAAGACGCGAGCUGGACUACUGCAAGUGGACGCCACCGAGGAGGCGUCGCAGCUCCCGCCGCGGAUGUGGUGGACGAUGCCAAGUCAUCUUGUAAAAAAAGGAAGUGAAGAAUGAUUAAGAGGGUCACGCCCUCUGCCCCUCCAACCUCUCUAAUCAGUUUCUUUCAGCUCUGUCUUCUGUAUGUGCACCUGCUCGGGUGGGACCUCAAGGAAAAAUAAUCCUGUGGGUCCACCUAAUCUGGUAAGUGGUAUCUUUGGAAAAUCAAGCUCCAAGUUGAGUGGAGGACAUGGAAACUGACAAUAAUAGUUAAUAACUGUGACUUCCACUUGCAUAUUUAUCUGCAUUGGCUAAUAAAUCACACUGUCUGUCUUGA
Molecule: long non-coding RNA, 681 nt
Organism: Propithecus coquereli (Coquerel's sifaka)
Lineage: Eukaryota; Metazoa; Chordata; Mammalia; Primates; Indriidae
Exons: 2
Source: RefSeq, a predicted model, not a curated record